GACGAACGCUGGCGGCGUGCCUAAUACAUGCAAGUUGAGCGAUGAAGAUUGGUGCUUGCACCAAUUUGAAGAGCAGCGAACGGGUGAGUAACGCGUGGGGAAUCUGCCUUUGAGCGGGGGACAACAUUUGGAAACGAAUGCUAAUACCGCAUAACAACUUUAAACAUAAGUUUUAAGUUUGAAAGAUGCAAUUGCAUCACUCAAAGAUGAUCCCGCGUUGUAUUAGCUAGUUGGUGAGGUAAAGGCUCACCAAGGCGAUGAUACAUAGCCGACCUGAGAGGGUGAUCGGCCACAUUGGGACUGAGACACGGCCCAAACUCCUACGGGAGGCAGCAGUAGGGAAUCUUCGGCAAUGGACGAAAGUCUGACCGAGCAACGCCGCGUGAGUGAAGAAGGAUUUCGGAUCGUAAAACUCUGUUGGUAGAGAAGAACGUUGGUGAGAGUGGAAAGCUCAUCAAGUGACGGUAACUACCCAGAAAGGGACGGCUAACUACGUG
This 497-nucleotide ribosomal RNA is filed under the name uncultured bacterium. RNAcentral's name for it is "partial 16S ribosomal RNA". It matches the Rfam family "Bacterial small subunit ribosomal RNA", at positions 28 to 507 of the family's 1533-position model. The record is from RNAcentral.